CGGGGUGUAGCUCAGGCUGGUUAGAGUGCUUGGUUUGGGACCAAGAAGUCGUAGGUUCGAAUCCUAUCACCCCGACAA
This 78-nucleotide transfer RNA is filed under the name Deltaproteobacteria bacterium CG_4_10_14_0_2_um_filter_43_8. Its description in RNAcentral is "tRNA-Pro". It matches the Rfam family "tRNA". From Rfam's summary of the family: Transfer RNA (tRNA) molecules are approximately 80 nucleotides in length. Their secondary structure includes four short double-helical elements and three loops (D, anti-codon, and T loops). Lineage: Bacteria; Deltaproteobacteria. RNAcentral also lists the same sequence under 2 other names. The record is from RNAcentral.